RNAcentral lists this long non-coding RNA (349 nucleotides) under Capra hircus (goat). Its description in RNAcentral is "lncRNA (ENSCHIG00000002827.1)". Lineage: Eukaryota; Metazoa; Chordata; Mammalia; Artiodactyla; Bovidae. The record is from RNAcentral.
CGGGAAUUUUACAGUGCUGGCAUAUUGUUUGGGCCGUAAUUUCAUCUGGUGCUUAUUGUCCACCCUGCUCAGUUAGAUAGCAUAGCUGAGCAGGACCCAAGAGGAGAGAGAAUUGAAGCUGACUGUGGCAUUGGGGCUAAUGCAAUUAAUGUCCUGACUGUUUCAGCAGCUUUUGGGGCCACAAUAGAGAGGCAUUCAGAAAAUCCCCGAAGAAAUAAUGUGGCCUACUCUCUGACUCCUGGAGGAUAUAGAAGAGAAUUUAGGAGCCAACAUGGAGGAAGUAGCUCCAUGAAGGAAAAGUCUUUCAGAUCUCUCUCACCAGCCAUAGUUGAAAAACACAGUGAGUAUA